CACAAAUUAGACCAUAGUCAAUUUAUGACAUAUGAGUUGCAUUCAUAAGGAGUUUCUUAAACUGGUUUA
RNAcentral lists this transfer RNA (69 nucleotides) under Macrophthalmus japonicus. RNAcentral's name for it is "tRNA-Ala". The record is from RNAcentral. Lineage: Eukaryota; Metazoa; Arthropoda; Malacostraca; Decapoda; Macrophthalmidae.